UGGAUUUUGCUGGGGCAGAGUAGCCCCACCUAAAGGGGGUCGCAUGAAAUCUUACCCUUUUCUUUGUCACAGAGUAUAAGAAUAAAACCUUUGAUGAUUGAAUGGAUUAUCCUCAGGAUAACAUCUGUGAUUCUUCAUGAGAGUUAUGUCUUCUUAAACCCUUGGAAGCUGUCAACACUACAGAUUUCCCAAAGCACCAAGCUGCAAACAGCAGAUUGCUCUUAAGCAAUGAUGCUGAAGCAUGAAGCACGAAUCAUGUUCCCAUAUCAGUUUCUUUCACUGCUCUGAACCCAGCACCUAGCACAGCUCCUGAUAGAGCUGUGUCAAACAUGAUAGAACUCCUGAUAGAGCUGAGUCAACAUGUCUGUUUAAUGAGUGAAUAGGAGUGGGCUAUCCCAAUGCAAAUUUCAAAGCUCUCAGCAAGACAAGGUUGAGACGAAUUACGAUGUGCAUGGAGAGAAGCCAUGGCCCAAGGAUGGGAAUUGCAGAUCUGGAGGCUGAAGCCCCGCAUUAGCAUCCCGGCUCUGCUCCCACUGGUUCUGUCACCCUGGGCAAAGCACUUCUCCCAAACUGCAGUUCCACCAACUGAGAAGCAGAGACAAUGACACCUGUUCCACUCACCUUGCAGGGUUGUUGUGAGAAGGAAAUAAAGUAUUUGAAAGCACUUUA
Rhinopithecus roxellana (golden snub-nosed monkey) is the source of this 669-nucleotide long non-coding RNA. RefSeq lists it as uncharacterized. The record is from RefSeq and is a predicted model, not a curated record. Lineage: Eukaryota; Metazoa; Chordata; Mammalia; Primates; Cercopithecidae. The transcript has 2 exons.